CUCUCUUCACUGCACCACCACUGCCCACCAUAGUCCAGCCAUUGUUUAUCGUCUGCUUCUCCUCCGCAGGAGAGGCCGGUGAGAGCGAGGUCUGCCUGGGUCUGCUAUGGUGCUGGUGCCCAUCAGAAUCAAUGCUUGGGGAUGAAUCGGUGAAGGGGAAUGAAUUUGUUGGAUGAAUCAGUGAAGGGGAAUCCUGUGGCUGACACACUGAGAGGAUCUCCACAAAGUGGAGAAGCCUCUAGAGAAGGCUGAGCCCAAGCAUUUGGGAGGCACAUGUCCCUCACACAGGAUCAAGGGACCACAAGCCAGACAUGGCCUCUGUCCUGAAGGAAGAAGGAUGAUGGGCCAUCAACUACCGUGCACUGCAAUAGGGCUGGGAGCCCAGGAUGGGGCACUCCACCCAAAUGAGGUGGUUGGGAAGGCUUUGUGGGGAGCAACAUUUUUCCUCCAUUAUCUGCAUUCUAGAAAGAAGGCACCAUUUGCACGGAGCCCUGAGGUGGGAAAGAGAGGCCCCUGGAGGAUGCAGAAGCGCAGGUGACUCUGCCUGGCAGGGGGCAGGGGCUGAGGUGCAGUCAGAGAGUCAAUGGGCCAAGCAGGUGCAACACCACCAGGUCCCGGGGAGCUUCCCGGCCACUUCUCUGGUGCAUGGCGAUGAGACUGGGCCUGCCAGGGGCAAGGAGACCUCAGGGUUGGCUCCAACUCAGAGCAGAGGAAAGACAGAGGCAGUGCGCCACCAUCUUCUUCGCCCCCAUCCGCACCUUCCAACAGUUGCCAACAGCAGCCUGGGAGUCUGCAGAGGUAAUCCAGGGCUCCAGGAGGGAUGACCUACUGCAGGAUGGAGGCCCUGGCUGCAGAUCUGGGAACCUCCCUCCUACUGGGAAGAAGCACAUUGCCGUCAUUCAGUCUCUUGUGAGUUGGGUUAUUAUGAGUCUGUUCGCCAGAGUCUGAGCUCUGAAAGGGAUGAGUGACUGGAUUGGUAAGGCAGAGAACUGACCCUCCUUCCAGCUGCAGAGAACUGCCAAGUCCCAUUCUUCGUGACAUCCUUCCUGUGUUGACACAGUGUUCUCCCCUCUCUUUAAAAUAACAACCUUUACUUGACCCUGCUGCCCAGGAACUUUCCUCUAAGAUUCUGCCAGGCUAUGCAGAGGGCAGACGUGAAUGCAGGCUAUAAAUCAGGAGCCCUCGUGACUCUUAGAUCCAUUAAUCCAUCAAGAGAAGAUUUGCUACCUCUUAGUGUUGAGGGAGAGACCAGAAAUCCUCUCACAGGAUUGACUAAAGGCUCAGGCACUACAUUUGAUACAAUUUACGACUCAGCACUUAGUGUGGUGAGCCUCAGGGG
This 1339-nucleotide long non-coding RNA is filed under the name Macaca mulatta (Rhesus monkey). RNAcentral describes it as "lncRNA (ENSMMUG00000064563.1)". The record is from RNAcentral. Lineage: Eukaryota; Metazoa; Chordata; Mammalia; Primates; Cercopithecidae.